RNAcentral lists this transfer RNA (70 nucleotides) under Jaxea nocturna. RNAcentral's name for it is "tRNA-Ile". Lineage: Eukaryota; Metazoa; Arthropoda; Malacostraca; Decapoda; Laomediidae. The record is from RNAcentral.
AGAUAUAGGUAGAAGUAGAAGCUACAUAUUUAGUCGCAUCAGGACUAUCCUUAUAAUCAGGCACUAUAUC